CCCCGUGGCCCCCCCGGCUGGCGCCCCACGCCGGGAGCUGUUACCAGUUCGGCAGCGGCCGCCGCGGGGUGGGCGCAGGCCCAGGGGCUCUGCCGCGAGCGGGGCGCCCAGCUCGCCGUCGUCGGGGACCCCCAGGAGCAGGCCUUCCUGGCGGAGCUCUCCCCCCCCCCACGACUCCUGGAUCGGGCUCCACGACCGCAGCUCCGAGGGCUCCUUCCAGUGGGUGGGACGGGAGCCCCAGCACCUACCGGAACUGGCGCUGGGGGCAGCCGGACGAGGGCGGGGGGGGGCGAGGACUGCGUGGCCAUGGACCCGCGGGGGGGGGUGGGGGGACCGGCCCUGCGCCGCCUCCCCGGGGGGGUGGGUCUGCGAGCGGCCCUGGGCCUGCUGACCCCCCCCGGGACCCCCCCCGGACCCCCUGCUGACCCCCCCCCGGGACCCCCCCGGACCCCCUGCUGACCCCCCCCGCGACCCCCCCGCUCCCCCUGCUGACCCCCCCCGGGACCCCCCCGGACCCCCUGCUG
Molecule: non-coding RNA, 524 nt
Organism: Phalacrocorax carbo (great cormorant)
Lineage: Eukaryota; Metazoa; Chordata; Aves; Suliformes; Phalacrocoracidae
Source: RefSeq, a predicted model, not a curated record